This 18-nucleotide small nuclear RNA is filed under the name Arabidopsis thaliana (thale cress). RNAcentral's name for it is "snRNA_02688". Lineage: Eukaryota; Viridiplantae; Streptophyta; Magnoliopsida; Brassicales; Brassicaceae. The record is from RNAcentral.
CGGCGGGUAGAAUCCUUU